UAGGAUCAUUCCCUUUUGAGGAGCAAUAUAAAGACAUGAACUUAAAAUAGACAUGGCAUUGGCUCUUAUCUCAUGCUCGCUCACCCUUUGACAACCAGAAACCAGGGCGACUUAAAAACCUAGCACUCACUACUCUUCAGUUGCCGUAAUUUUAUUAGUCUGGUCACAUGACAGUGACAGGUGUGAGACACAACCUGGUAUCCAGGUGAAACUUAUGAAAACAGCUUCAUAGCUAAUGACACUGUCAAACCACAGAACCCCUGCCUUUACGCCCAAUAUUAAAACACUUCUACAUCCAAAAACCAAGGGGAGAAACAGAGGUACAGUGUUCAGAACUGAACAGCAAGUUAUAAAACUUCAAACACAAGACAAUAUAUUGAAAACCUAGUGGCACCAAAUCUGCGAUGCUGUUUAUUACUUGGUGAACCUCUCCUUUUAACAUCUGGGUCACCACUAACUAUCUAGGAUUACCAGACAACACUGCUUCCCACCCAUGUUUAAAGUACUACUAAGUACUACCUAAAACAUCACCCAUGCUGGGAAGUGGACCCAGUGACUAAGUACCCGGUUCAGCGGUCGCCAGCAGUAUUUCACUUUGGGUGGUAGCUGGUCUCUAGCAUGGGAGUUGUAGAACAAGGCAGUUCGGCUGCAACGACCGAGAUUUUCACCGCCCAACACCAAAGUUUGCCAAGGCGCCGGUGAACGCACAGAUCCAUGGCAGCCCUAGCCCAGUGGCAGUGAGUCACAGAGGACACACAUUUUAUGUUUCAUAAUGAAAGCGUGGACAACCUGGAGCUGGGCAGCUUCUGCAGUGCAUCAGCUGAACUGCUCUGUAGGAGGGAGAUUAUACACAACACGACAGUGUGCUUCUUCUGCUGCAUCUUUCAGAGACUGCAGGAUUUGCAGGCAGAGGUGAGCCACACUCUCUUUGCAGAUGACUCUCUUCACCUGGACACUGCAACUUCUGUGCUGGAAGCCCCCACUUGGGAGAAGAGAUAGCAAAGGGGCUCUUCAGAAUCACCCAGGCAAAGUCAUCUGCAUUGAAGCUGGUUUGAAACUGGACUGUGCUAACCUUGGAGAUUCUACACCAAAACAGAUUGAGCAGUGCUCACUUAUUUGACUGCACCUGAUGAUGAGCUGGAUGAGGCCCUUGUGCCCAGUGGGUGGUCACACGUAGGGAGCCACAGUAGCAUCUGCAGCUGACAAAGCUGGGGCCAGAAGUGUGCCACAGCCAGUGCUUUCAGCCUAGGGGUAGUGACAUUGUGUCUGUGCACUCACCUACCAUGUAAAAGCACCUGCUAAAAUUGAUUUCAGUUUGCUCAUCUUCAAUGGUCUGAGCCUUCCUAUCAGCUAUUCCUUAAAAAAACUGCAAGUGCAGUAAACAAAGGCUUGUACCACAAUCAUCAGAUUAACCACUUCUAAACUGUUUCAUUUAAAGUAAAGCAGCAGCUAUUAUAUUGUCUUGAUUUAAGGCAGCAAAAGCAAGCCCUUGGGUAAAUUAGAGAGUUUUAGUACUUUCAGUAACAGGCAGCAAUACCUGGUGGUUUGCUGAGUUGGCAUUAUUGCAUGAAUAUAUAUAGGGUCAUGUCACCUGAGUGACAUGGACACAACAAUAUGGAGGUAGUAACUUUAGCCAUGUACAUUGGGUUUUUAUCAGAACAGCUCAGAUAUUGCCAGCAGAGAGAUGGAUUCCAGAAAUUCUGCCUCCAUGUGGCCUGCUUUUCUAUCCCCAAACAGCCUCUUUGGCCAAUACUGGGCAUGCUUUUAAAUACUCUGGAGUGAUUAAUCCACCAAAUGUUGGCUGUCUGGCCCUUUAACCCAGCAAAGAUUUUAGCAAAGGGUUGCCAUUUUAAUAGAGAACAAAAUGUAGUUUUCAAUUGUCUACUGAGAUAUAGGGAGAAAUAACAAAACCAUUAUUCACUUUAUUCACACAGAAGAAUAUUUAGAAGCUCCCACAAAAUAAUUUGAUAUCUCCUUUGCACCCAUUUUUCCCUGCAGUAUGAUCCAUCUAUGUUUUAAGACUGGAAUAGAUUUGCCAUCCUAGAUAAAAACCUCUUCCCCAUGUCUACACAAUAUACACGUUUAGUAAAACACAAACCUUGUCUUUUUGCAGUCCUGACACCUAUAUAGAGGAUAUCCUUCCCCAUGGAUGCCUUUUUCUAAUGUAGUUGUCUCUACAAUACUAUAAUAAUAUACUUUUUAAUGAUAAUAAAAGCAACUAGAUGGCCUCA
This 2231-nucleotide long non-coding RNA is filed under the name Cyanistes caeruleus (blue tit). RNAcentral describes it as "lncRNA (ENSCCEG00000013786.1)". The record is from RNAcentral. Lineage: Eukaryota; Metazoa; Chordata; Aves; Passeriformes; Paridae.